AUUGAACGCUGGCGGCAGGCUUAACACAUGCAAGUCGAGCGAGAGGCGGACGGGUGAGUAAUGUCUGGGAAACUGCCUGAUGGCGGGGGAUAACUACUGGAAACGGUAGCUACUACCGCAUCCCCUCGGAUGUGCCCAGAGGGGAUUAGCUAGUAGGUGGGGUAAUGGCUCACCUAGGCGACGAUCCCUAGCUGGUCUGAGAGGAUGACCAGCCACACUGGAACUGAGACACGGUCCAGACUCCUACGGGAGGCAGCAGUGGGGAAUAUGGCACAAUGGGCGCAAGCCUGAUGCAGCCAUGCCGCGUGUGUGAAGAAGGCCUUCGGGUUGUAAAGCACUUUCAGCGGGGAGGCGUUACUCGCAGAAGAAGCACCGGCUAACUCCGUGCCAGCAGCCGCGGUAAUUC
RNAcentral lists this ribosomal RNA (406 nucleotides) under uncultured bacterium. Its description in RNAcentral is "partial 16S ribosomal RNA". It matches the Rfam family "Bacterial small subunit ribosomal RNA", at positions 30 to 526 of the family's 1533-position model. The record is from RNAcentral.